This 1687-nucleotide unclassified non-coding RNA is filed under the name Drosophila yakuba. RNAcentral describes it as "GE20934". The record is from RNAcentral. Lineage: Eukaryota; Metazoa; Arthropoda; Insecta; Diptera; Drosophilidae.
UGUAGAGAUUAUUUUGAGUGGAAGACAUCCGCAUGUCCGGGCAAGCGGACUAAAAUCUAAGCACUUCUUAGUUAAUAUUACAGUCUAGAUAGGUGAAAUAUCAUCCACGUCCAAGCCUUCUUUAGCUAAUUAAGCAAGUCUCAAAGACGCACCCCGGAGGAAAUCAAGACGCAGGUGGACUCCUUCCGCCAGAAGUUGAUGGGACAGGGAAAAACAGAUCUGGCCAAGGAUGAAUUCGGACGCGUAGCUGCUCGCGACACCCAUCAAAUAGCCGAGGCUCAACAGCAGAAGAACGCCAAGCUGCGCGAGGCCUUCAACAUAUCCGAGUACUUUGUCGAGGGCAGCAGCUUCGACAGCGAUCGCAAGGCGAAGGAGGACCUGGCCAAAAGCGUGGCUCUCCAAAAGGAACUGGACGCCCAGCGCGAGAGCCUGGCAGCGGCGGCAGCUGCCGCAGCAGCCGGCAAGGACAAGGAGACCGGGAAGCGGUAUGCUCUAGUGCGCACUCCUUCCCGCGAACGGGAUCGCGAUGGUGGCGAUGCGGCGGCCAGUGGCGAUGAACGUGGCGAUCAUGUCUCCAAGACGGACAAGAAGAAGCGCAAGAAGCGCGCCAGAGAGAGUUCGGCCAGUCCUGAGCGCAAGAAGGACAAGAAGAAGAAGUCGAAGAAGCACAAGAAAGAGAGGUAAGAGUCCUGGCCGGAAUCCAAAACUUCAAUCCCUCGACAACCGUAGCUCUGUGUUUGUUUCCUUUGCUCUUUGGUUGGACUCUACAGUCAUGUUUUUUGAUUUGUUUCUUACCGUACAUAGUAAACUGUAAACACGUGCGCUUAGAGCGUGAAAACCAAUGAUACUAUGUAACUAUCAAUCAACUGCUUAAUACAUUUUGUUUUUCGUCUCUACUCCUUCUUUUACAUUGCAUUUGAAACCACAAAAGGGACUCAUAUGAGAAAGAAAGUAAAAAGAAGCGAAAAGCCACGUACAAAUGAAUCACACUUAGUUUUAACCAAGCUAACACUAUCCAACAAACUAUAAGAACCAAUCCAAUCAAGUGAAAUGUUUCAAAUGCCUUUCUGCAAUAUAUACUUUCGAUAUCCUAACACUUGCCAAGACAAUCUUUUAUUUGAAUCCGUGUGCAGCGAGAGUGAGUAGAGUGAUCAGGGAUCUAAGUACGUAUGGGUUCUCCACUAGCCAACACUUCACACACCACCACCCAUCCACCCACCCACUCACUCGAAAGCCCAACCAACCCAACUAGAUCCAAACUAACCAUCUAACCAACUGAUCACAGAUACUUCCCCCACAAUUCGCCCACUCACAUUCCCCCAAACUCUGCCCGGCGGUAAGUAAUAAUUCGAUUCUACAAUCUUAAAACCAUAGAAAUUGCAUUGCCAACUUAAACUACAAUACCAAAUACAAAAUACAAAAUACCAAAUACAAGUAAAGAACUACUAGAACUUACAACAAUAAGCGAUAUUGUUAAGAGGUCUCUCUGUGUGUUGCAAAAAUUAAAAGCGAAUUACUUUCUCAUCUUUCUUUCUAUUAUUAUGAUUACCUUCUAUAAUGUUAAGACAAAGCAAUUUGCGCAGUUUUCGAUGAAGUAAGUCGAAGAAGAAAAAGUCGCGAAAGCGCAAGCACAGCGAAAGUGGCCGGGACAGCGACCGGGAUAGCGAUGACGACGACGACAGCAGCG